UACGUAGGGUGCAAGCGUUGUCCGGAAUUAUUGGGCGUAAAGAGCUCGUAGGCGGUCUGUUGCGUCGGCUGUGAAAACCCGCGGCUCAACUGCGGGCCUGCAGCCGAUACGGGCAGGCUAGAGUUCGGUAGGGGAGACUGGAAUUCCUGGUGUAGCGGUGAAAUGCGCAGAUAUCAGGAGGAACACCAGUGGCGAAGGCGGUGCUCUGGGCCGGAACUGACGCUGAGGAGCGAAAGCGUGGGGAGCAAACAGG
Molecule: ribosomal RNA, 253 nt
Filed under: uncultured bacterium
Lineage: Bacteria
Description: partial 16S ribosomal RNA
Rfam family: Bacterial small subunit ribosomal RNA
Source: RNAcentral